UAAAAUACUGGUUUUCAUAUGAUCACCAAAGUUAAGCAAUUUUAAGCCUGGUCAGUAUUAAGAUGAGUGACCAUUCGGGAAUACCAGAUACUGUAAG
This is a non-coding RNA of Acanthosepion pharaonis, 97 nucleotides long. The record is from the annotation of a GenBank genome assembly. Lineage: Eukaryota; Metazoa; Mollusca; Cephalopoda; Sepiida; Sepiidae.